GUAGUUAGCCGGGGCUUCCUCACAGGGUACCGUCACUUCUUCGUCCCCUGCGACAGAGGUUUACAAUCCGAAAACCUUCUUCCCUCACGCGGCGUUGCUGGGUCAGGCUUGCGCCCAUUGCCCAAUAUUCCCCACUGCUGCCUCCCGUAGGAGUCUGGACCGUGUCUCAGUUCCAGUGUGGCCGAUCAGCCUCUCAGCUCGGCUACCCAUCGUCGGCUUGGUGGGCUGUUAUCUCACCAACUACCUAAUGGGACGCGAACCCCUCUUAUAGCGAUAAAUCUUUGACCCCUUCCCGAUGUCAGGUUGUGGUCUCAUGCGGUAUUAGCACUUGUUUCCAACUGUUAUCCCCCACUAUAAGGCAGGUUGUUCACGCGUUACUCACCCGUUCGCCACUCAAAUUAUAAAUUCCAUCCGAAAACUUCCUUUAUAAUCUCCGUUCGACUUGCAUGUGUUAGGCACGCCGCCAGCGUUCGUCCUGAGCCAGAAUCAAACUCUGA
This 497-nucleotide ribosomal RNA is filed under the name uncultured bacterium. RNAcentral's name for it is "partial 16S ribosomal RNA". The record is from RNAcentral.